RNAcentral lists this ribosomal RNA (253 nucleotides) under uncultured bacterium. RNAcentral's name for it is "partial 16S ribosomal RNA". It matches the Rfam family "Bacterial small subunit ribosomal RNA", at positions 524 to 776 of the family's 1533-position model. The record is from RNAcentral.
UACAGAGGCCUCGAGCGUUAGGCGGAAUCACUGGGCUUAAAGCGUGUGUAGGUGGAUGCCUAAGUACCUUGUGAAAUCCCACGGCUUAACCGUGGAAUUGCUUGGUAUACUGGGUGUCUUGAGCCACUCAGGGGCGAGCGGAACAAACGGUGGAGCGGUGAAAUGCGUAGAUAUCGUUUGGAACGCCAAUGGUGAAAACAGACAGCUGGGAGUGUGCUGACGCUGAGACACGAAAGCCAGGGGAGCGAACGGG